Molecule: long non-coding RNA, 293 nt
Filed under: Medicago truncatula (barrel medic)
Lineage: Eukaryota; Viridiplantae; Streptophyta; Magnoliopsida; Fabales; Fabaceae
Description: long non-coding RNA (MTRU_LNC008025)
Source: RNAcentral
UCUUCGGAUUGUUGUUAAUUUUUUCUUCAACGGGAACCUCCACUUCUAUCACAUCAAGUUUCCUUUUGAGCUUCAUUUGCAUCUCAUGCUUGGUGUGAAGAUCAAAAGGUUCCAUUAUUUGAGUAUUGUAACCAUUUUUCUCCACAAUAUGAUCAUCACUUGCAGAAUCUUCAUUCAUUCUCACAUUCUCUUCCAUUACAAUCUCAUUAAGGGAUGGAACAGAAGAAGCAAACAAAUUCUCAUCCAUGCGAAAAUCAUUGGAUAUACAAUUAUUAAUAUUAUUUUCUAGUACA